CCUACGGGCGGCAGCAGUGGGGAAUAUUGGGCAAUGGCCGCAAGCCUGACCCAGCAACGCCGCGUGAAUGAAGAAGGUCUUCGGGUUGUAAACUUCUGUUCUGGGGGACGAACAAAUUACGGUACCCCCAGAAUCAGCCCCGGCCAACCACGUGCCAGCAGCCCCGGUAAUACGUAGGUGGCAAGCGUUAUCCGGAUUUAUUGGGGGUAAAGGGCGGGUAGGUGGGACUGCAAGUUGGAUGUGAAAACUAUGGGCUCAACCCAUGGCCUACCGGUGAAACUAUAUUUCUUGAGUGCAGGAGAGGCAAUCGGAAUUCCGAGUGUAGCGGUGGAAUGCGUAGAUAUGAGGAGGAACACCAGGGGCGAAGGCGAAUUGCUGGACAGUAACUGACACUGAGGCACGAAAGCGUGGGGAGCAAACAGGAUUAGAUACCCUAGUAGUC
This 442-nucleotide ribosomal RNA is filed under the name uncultured bacterium. Its description in RNAcentral is "partial 16S ribosomal RNA". It matches the Rfam family "Bacterial small subunit ribosomal RNA", at positions 338 to 795 of the family's 1533-position model. The record is from RNAcentral.